This 64-nucleotide ribosomal RNA is filed under the name uncultured bacterium. RNAcentral's name for it is "partial 16S ribosomal RNA". The record is from RNAcentral.
CCAGCGACGCUGCGUGGUGGAUGAAGGCCUUCGGGUUGUAACCCCUUUUCUGGGGGACGAUCCU